AGACUGCCUCUGGCUCAUACUGGGUGUUUGGCCUUCUACUCACAUGAAAACGGCCUAUGGACAAACAUCUUGCUCCUGCCUGAUUGUUUUCCUUACAGAUUCUGAGUGGGGACACAGCCUGCCAGGGCGAAUUGUCCCACCCCUGCAGCACAACUCACCUCCACCUAAGGAGCGAGCAGCCACCGGCUUCUUUGGGUUUCUAAGCUCUCUCUUCCCGUUUCGAUAUUUCUUCAGGAAGAGCAGCCACUCUUGAGCCUUCCAAAUGCAGCGCUGGAAAGAGGAUCAUCUCUUGUAGUGACUCCUCCCGAGCCAUUCUUCCUCCAACUCUAUCCUUUUCUUAUGACACUUCAGUCGUGGGGAAUGAGGUCCCCAUGCUGAGUCCUCUGUGGUUUUAUCGUGUCCUUUGCCCCUUUAUAAUAGAUUUUUUCCCCCAAUUUAAAACAUUAAGAAUGGAACUUUCUAAAAUGUUCAUGUCCUGAGGGCCGGUUUAGGCCUUUUGUCUUCGGCACUUAGGAUCCUAAUGACAAUAAAUUAUUUAUGAAGAGUU
RNAcentral lists this long non-coding RNA (547 nucleotides) under Homo sapiens (human). RNAcentral describes it as "non-protein coding lnc-GPHA2-1:1". The record is from RNAcentral. Lineage: Eukaryota; Metazoa; Chordata; Mammalia; Primates; Hominidae.